AUACAAUAAUGAAAAUCAAUGUAAAUAUAUAUAAUGAAGAUAUAAUAAAGAUAAAGAAUAAACAAUAUACAUGACAGAAUAGCAAACCAAUAUAUGAUAAAACAAUAUAUACAUGAAAUAAUUUUAAAUAACAAGGAAAUUAUAAAACAUGUUUUUAGAGAAUAAAUUAUAUACGUAAUAAAUUUGAAAAGAAAUACAAAUAAAUAGAUUUAAAAGAAAUUAUAUGUGUAAAAUAACAUAGAACUAAUAAUGUGUACAAAAUAAACUACACUUAUCAUAAAUCAUACAUUAUCAAUAUAAGUUAAACGUAAAUUAAAUAUUAUAAAAAAUUUUGACAACAACAUGAUAUACAAAGUAAUUUUAAGAUAAUAGUUUAAUAAUAAAAGAGUGAAUUAUCAAAAUAAUUUAAAAUGUAUAUGAAAAUAAAAUAAAUGCUAAACGAACUAAAAAGAUAAUGAACUAAAUUAAAAGGACUCAAUUAAAAUACGAUUAAAAUGAAUAGGCUAGUUUAUAAAUAAAAUAAUCAAAAGAGGGCCAAUGCGUGAUGCGCGUCAAUGUAAAAUGACUAGAACUGGAAAUAACCCAAGUUCUAAAACGCAGAGCAGAGACACGGACUAAAGCGCAAACACGCGCAAAUUACAGGGCUAAUUUAAAAAAUGAAGCGGAAUAGAUAAGGCGCGAUUGAAUGCGCAUGCAAAAGGAGAGGACUUAAUGCACAAUUAACCCUCCAAGGCCAAAAGCUCGGGUCUCAUCCGAACGUGGGCCGGGUUAUCGGGUCGGUGCUCUUAAACGGCACCGUUUUGAAGCCAUAGGAAUUGGCCUAAAACGACGUCAUUUCCUUCAUUUUAUAGAAACCAAAAUUUAAACAAACCUUAAACUGAUUCUUGGUCAUUUGAAAAGAAAACAAAACAGAUCCUAAAGCCCCUUUUCUUCCCCUCUCAUUCGGCCGAAUCAAGAGGCACCCUUGGACUGCCGUUUGGCCUCCAUGUUUAGCCGCCGGUCAUCACGCUAAAGCCUAAUCCGACUUCGUCCAACCACGAAUCCAAGGCUACGCUCAAAGGUCUCAGAAUCAACCCUCAAACUCCGAUUGCAACGAAGCCAGUGAGGAUUCGAGGGAACCAAAAACGAGGUAAGCCCCUUUUUUUUCUUUCGAAUAUAUGAACACAAAACCCAGGCGAAUGAAACUAAAAGAAAUCCGAGAUUUGAAUCGGAAAAUCACCUGGAUCGAUUUUAUAUAUUUGAUUGUCCUUUUUUUUGUUGAAUCUGUUCGUAGUUUUUACAAAAGGAAAGGUUCUUGGCUUUAUAGCCAAACCAAAUAAAACGACAAAGAAAAAUACAAUUCCUUUUCUUUUUUCAUUGCUCUGCUUGUUUUUUUGCUAUUGCUAUUGUGGUCGUCCUUUGCUUGUCUUUAUUUGCAGGUACGGAGGCAACGUGGUAGGGGUAGCUGGCGCGUACGGAGGCUGAUGGUGGUGUCGACGUGGAGGCGCCAUUCAUGGUAGUGCUGGAGGCUACUGCGUUCCUUGCUGCUAGGGUUCUGGAACAUUGAUAAUUUGGGCUUUUCGGGCCUAUUCUAGUAGUUGGGCCAUAAUUUUUGUAAUUGGAUUGUAAACUGGGCCGCUAUUGACAUUUGUAUUUUUAUAUUAUUGUAUUUUUCAUUUUUUUGUGGUUUUUGUUUGAUUUGUGUUUGCACGGGCCCGGGCCAAAAUUGGGCAUUACAAUUAUUAUUUAUUACUAUCCUUUUUUAUGGUUUCACAUAAUCCUUAUUCAUUUCCAACUAGUUUUUUUUUUUCAAAUUCUCUUAACUUAUUCAUUGUUUCUCUCUUAUUUUAGCUUAUCCGUUUUAUUUUAUUUUAUUUUAUUUUUACUUUUAUCGUUAUCGUUCACGUUUGCGUUUAUGUUCAUUCUGUUAUGCUCAUUAAUACUGAGA
RNAcentral lists this long non-coding RNA (1927 nucleotides) under Gossypium barbadense (sea-island cotton). RNAcentral describes it as "long non-coding RNA (GBAR_LNC007679)". Lineage: Eukaryota; Viridiplantae; Streptophyta; Magnoliopsida; Malvales; Malvaceae. The record is from RNAcentral.